UUUCUCUCACGCUACAAAAGCCCUCCUGAUCACUGGAUUGGUCUCCAGAAGGAUUUGGGUCAGCCCUGGAGAUGGGUCAAUGGCAGCAUUUUCACAGGAGAGUUCUUCAGGCUUUGUGAGGAAAAGGGAAGAAGGUGUGCAUAUUUGAACCAUAAUGCCAUUGCUAGUUCAAGCUGCACAAGAGAAGAACCCUGGAUCUGUAGCAAAGAGAUGACUUUGCCUGGAUAGCGGAAGCAAAGCCCUGAUUCAUGCUCUGCUUUUCCAGAAGAAUAGAGAGAAAAGAAAUCAAUGGGAAUGACAAAAGGACUGGACUUGGAACCUGAAAGGAAAUAAUGAUGCAAAAUCUAAUAAACAGAGACGUGAAUGAACCAAGGGAAGAGAUACAAGCUUAUCUCCAGUCUGCGGGGACAUGAAAAAGACUGCAAUAUACCACAUGACUGAAGAUGUUCAAGCUGUCAAGCUUUAUUGAAACAGUUAGACAAAGAUUUUAUGCAGAAACAAAUGUAUAUAUGUACAGUUAAUAUUAGAAAGGAGUGAAAUAUAAAGUAAAAUGCUGUAUGAGAUAUGACAAAUUUGUUGUUGUUUAUUCAUUCAGUUGCUUCCGACUCUUCGUGACUUCAUGGACCAGCCCACACCAGAGCUCCCUGUUGGU
Non-coding RNA from Anolis sagrei ordinatus, 652 nucleotides. The record is from RefSeq and is a predicted model, not a curated record. Lineage: Eukaryota; Metazoa; Chordata; Lepidosauria; Squamata; Anolidae.